CAUUGCUGACCUUCAAGAAACUUUCAACACUCUCCACCAAUUUUGGAUGAGGCUGAACCUAGUAAAGUGCACCUUUGGAGUUACAUCAGGCAAGUUUCCUGAAUUUAUGGUCACGUGAAGAAGCAUUGAGAUAAAUCUCGAGAAGAUUAAGACAGUCUUUGAGAUGACACCAUCAAGAACUAUCAAAGAAGUACAGCGUCUAACCGGCA
Molecule: long non-coding RNA, 209 nt
Filed under: Elaeis guineensis (African oil palm)
Lineage: Eukaryota; Viridiplantae; Streptophyta; Magnoliopsida; Arecales; Arecaceae
Description: long non-coding RNA (EGUI_LNC010496)
Source: RNAcentral